Molecule: ribosomal RNA, 433 nt
Filed under: uncultured bacterium
Lineage: Bacteria
Description: partial 16S ribosomal RNA
Rfam family: Bacterial small subunit ribosomal RNA
Source: RNAcentral
AACGAACGCUGGCGGCAUGCCUAACACAUGCAAGUCGAACGAGACCUUCGGGUCUAGUGGCGCACGGGUGCGUAACGCGUGGGAACUUGCCCUUAGGUUCGGAAUAACUCCCCGUAAGGGGUGCUAAUACCGGAUAAUGUCUUUGGACCAAAGAUUUCUCGCUUUUGGAUGGGCCCGCGUUGGAUUAGCCAGUUGGUAGGGUAAAAGCCUACCAAGGCGACGAUCCAUAGCUGGUCUGAGAGGAGGAUCAGGCCCACUGGGACUGAGACACGGCCCAGACUCCUACGGAAGGCAGCAGUGGGGAAUAUUGGACAAUGGGCGAAAACCUGGUCCAGCAAUGCCGCGUGAGUGAUGAAGGCCUUAGGGUUGUAAAGCUCUUUUACCCGGGAUGAUAAUGACAGUACCGGGAGAAUAAGCACCGGCUAACUCCGUG